Molecule: ribosomal RNA, 369 nt
Filed under: uncultured organism
Description: bacterial SSU rRNA
Rfam family: Bacterial small subunit ribosomal RNA
Source: RNAcentral
CGUAGGGUGCGAGCGUUAAUCGGAAUUACUGGGCGUAAAGCGUGCGCAGGCGGUUUUGUAAGACAGAUGUGAAAUCCCCGGGCUCAACCUGGGACCUGCAUUUGUGACUGCAAGGCUAGAGUACGGUAGAGGGGGAUGGAAUUCCGCGUGUAGCAGUGAAAUGCGUAGAUAUGCGGAGGAACACCGAUGGCGAAGGCAAUCCCCUGGACCUGUACUGACGCUCAUGCACGAAAGCGUGGGGAGCAAACAGGAUUAGAUACCCUGGUAGUCCACGCCCUAAACGAUGUCAACUGGUUGUUGGGUCUUUACUGACUCAGUAACGAGCUAACGCGUGAAGUUGACCGCCUGGGGAGUACGGCCGCAAGGUUG